RNAcentral lists this ribosomal RNA (829 nucleotides) under uncultured bacterium. Its description in RNAcentral is "bacterial SSU rRNA". It matches the Rfam family "Bacterial small subunit ribosomal RNA", at positions 8 to 825 of the family's 1533-position model. The record is from RNAcentral.
AGAGUUGAUCUGGCUCAGAAUGAACGCUGGCGGCGCGUUUAAGCAUGCAAGUCGGACGGCAAGGGCUGUAGCAAUACGGCCCCUAGAGUGGCGAACGGGUGAGUAACACGUAGGUGAUCUACCUCUGGAUGGGGGAUAGCCCGUGGAAACACGGGGUAAUACCGCAUGAGGCCUUGUGGGUGAAGCCAUGAGGUGAAAGGUGCAAUUGCAUCGUCUGGGGAUGAGCCUGCGGUCCAUUAGUUAGUUGGCGGGGUAACGGCCCACCAAGACGACGAUGGAUAGCCGGCCUGAGAGGGUGGACGGCCACACUGGAACUGAGACACGGUCCAGACUCCUACGGGAGGCAGCAGCUAAGAAUCGUCCGCAAUGGGGGAAACCCUGACGGAGCGACGCCGCGUGGAUGAUGAAGGCCGUAAGGUUGUAAAAUCCUUUUGUCGGUGAAGAAUAAACCAGGGAGUGGAAAGCCCUGGUGAUGACGUUAGCCGGCGAAUAAGCCCCGGCUAAUUACGUGCCAGCAGCCGCGGUAAUACGUAUGGGGCAAGCGUUGUUCGGAUUUAUUGGGCGCAAAGGGCGUGUAGGCGGCUCAUCAAGUCUGGUGUGAAAUCGCAGGGCUUAACCCUGCAUAUGCGCUGGAAACUGGUGGGCUUGAGUUCUUGAGGGGAAGCUGGAAUUCCAGGUGUAGGGGUGAAAUCUGUAGAUAUCUGGAAGAACACCGGUGGCGAAGGCGAGCUUCUAUCAGAGGACUGACGCUGAGGCGCGAAAGCGUGGGGAGCAAACAGGAUUAGAUACCCUGGUAGUCCACGCUGUAAACGAUGUGCACUAGGCGUGG